CCUACGGGAGGCAGCAGUGAGGAAUAUUGGUCAAUGGACGAGAGUCUGAACCAGCCAAGUAGCGUGAAGGAUGACUGCCCUAUGGGUUGUAAACUUCUUUUAUAUGGGAAUAAAACGUUCCACGUGUGGGAUUUUGUAUGUACCAUAUGAAUAAGGAUCGGCUAACUCCGUGCCAGCAGCCGCGGUAAUACGGCGGAUCCGAGCGUUAUCCGGAUUUAUUGGGUUUAAAGGGAGCGUAGGUGGAUUGUUAAGUCAGUUGUGAAAGUUUGCGGCUCAACCGUAAAAUUGCAGUUGAAACUGGCAGUCUUGAGUACAGUAGAGGUGGGCGGAAUGCGUGGUGUAGCGGUGAAAUGCUUAGAUAUCACGAAGAACUCCGAUUGCGAAGGCAGUUCACUGGACUGCAACUGACACUGAGGCUCGAAAGUGUGGGUAUCAAACAGGAUUAGAUACCCAAGUAGUC
RNAcentral lists this ribosomal RNA (460 nucleotides) under uncultured bacterium. Its description in RNAcentral is "partial 16S ribosomal RNA". It matches the Rfam family "Bacterial small subunit ribosomal RNA", at positions 338 to 795 of the family's 1533-position model. The record is from RNAcentral.